CCUACGGGAGGCAGCAGUGAGGAAUAUUGGACAAUGGGCGCGAGCCUGAACCAGCCAAGUAGCGUGAAGGAUGACUGCCCUACGGGUUGUAAACUUCUUUUAUAAAGGAAUAAAGUGAGGCACGUGUGCCUUUUUGUAUGUACUUUAUGAAUAAGGAUAGGCUAACUCCGUCCCAGCAGACGCGGUAAUACGGAGGAUCCGAGCGUUAUUCGGAUUUAUUGGGCUUAAAGGGAGCGUAGAUGGGUUGUUAAGUCAGUUGUGAAAGUUUGGGGCUCAACCGUAGAAUUGCAAUUGAUACUGGCAGCCUUGAGUACAGUAGAGGUAGGCGGAAUUCGUGGUGUAGCGGUGAAAUGCGUAGAUAUCACGAAGAACUCCGAUUGCGAAGGCAGCCUACUAAACUGCCACUGACAUUGAUGCUCGAAAGUGUGGGUAUCAAACAGGAUUAGAUACCCUUGUAGUC
RNAcentral lists this ribosomal RNA (460 nucleotides) under uncultured bacterium. RNAcentral's name for it is "partial 16S ribosomal RNA". It matches the Rfam family "Bacterial small subunit ribosomal RNA", at positions 338 to 795 of the family's 1533-position model. The record is from RNAcentral.